RNAcentral lists this ribosomal RNA (195 nucleotides) under uncultured Pseudomonas sp. RNAcentral's name for it is "partial 16S ribosomal RNA". It matches the Rfam family "Bacterial small subunit ribosomal RNA", at positions 337 to 524 of the family's 1533-position model. Lineage: Bacteria; Pseudomonadati; Pseudomonadota; Gammaproteobacteria; Pseudomonadales; Pseudomonadaceae. The record is from RNAcentral.
UCCUACGGGAGGCAGCAGUGGGGAAUAUUGGACAAUGGGCGAAAGCCUGAUCCAGCCAUGCCGCGUGUGUGAAGAAGGUCUUCGGAUUGUAAAGCACUUUAAGUUGGGAGGAAGGGUCGUUACCUAAUACGUGACGAUUUUGACGUUACCGACAGAAUAAGCACCGGCUAACUCUGUGCCAGCAGCCGCGGUAAU